AUAAUAGUGGCUAGAGUCACGUUGACAUCGUGGAGGUCACAGGUUCGAGUCCCGUUACGUCCA
This 63-nucleotide transfer RNA is filed under the name Roseofilum sp. SBFL. RNAcentral's name for it is "tRNA-Ser". RNAcentral also lists the same sequence under 3 other names. The record is from RNAcentral. Lineage: Bacteria; Bacillati; Cyanobacteriota; Cyanophyceae; Desertifilales; Desertifilaceae.